This 497-nucleotide ribosomal RNA is filed under the name uncultured bacterium. Its description in RNAcentral is "partial 16S ribosomal RNA". It matches the Rfam family "Bacterial small subunit ribosomal RNA", at positions 28 to 507 of the family's 1533-position model. The record is from RNAcentral.
GAUGAACGCUGGCGGCGUGCCUAAUACAUGCAAGUCGAGCGAACAGACGAGGAGCUUGCUCCUCGGACGUUAGCGGCGGACGUGUGAGUAACGCGUGUAUAACCUACCUAUAAGACUGGUAUAACUUCGGGAAACCGGAUCUAAUACCGUAUAAUAUAUUGAACCGCAUGGUGCAAUAGUGAAAUACGGUGUUUCUGUCACUUAUAGAUGGAUCCGCGCCGCAUUAGCUAGUUGGUAAGGUAACGGCUUACCAAGGCAACGAUGCGUAGCCGAACUGAGGGGGUGAUCGGCCACACUGGAGGUGAGACACGGUCCAGACUCCUAAGGGAGGCCGCAGUAGGGAAUCUUACGCAAUAGGCGAAAGCUUGACGGAGCAACGGCGCGUGAGUGAUGAAGGUCUUCGGAUCGUAAAACUCUGUUAUUAGGGAAGAACAAAUGUGUAAGUAAAUAUGCACGUCUUGACGGUAACUAAUAAGAAAGCAACGGCUAACUACGUG